GGCGGCGUGCCUAAUACAUGCAAGUCGAACGAAUCUUCUUCGGAAGAUGAGUGGCGAACGGGUGAGUAAUACAUAGGUAACCUGCCCCUGUGCGGGGGAUAACAGGAGGAAACUCAUGCUAAUACCGCAUAGCCAUGAGCACCGCAUGGAGCUCAUGCCAAAUAUCCUUCAGGGGAUAGCGCAGGGAUGGACCUAUGGCGCAUUAGCUAGUUGGCGGGGCAACGGCCCACCAAGGCAACGAUGCGUAGCCGGCCUGAGAGGGCGGACGGCCACAUUGGGACUGAGACACGGCCCAGACUCCUACGGGAGGCAGCAGUAGGGAAUUUUCGGCAAUGGGGGAAACCCUGACCGAGCAACGCCGCGUGAGCGAAGAAGGCCUUCGGGUCGUAAAGCUCUGUUGUAAAGGAAGAACGUCGCAUGCAGGAAAUGGUGUGCGAGUGACGGUACUUUACCAGAAAGCCACGGCUAACUACGUGCCAGCAGCCGCGGUAAUACGUA
This 498-nucleotide ribosomal RNA is filed under the name uncultured organism. RNAcentral's name for it is "bacterial SSU rRNA". It matches the Rfam family "Bacterial small subunit ribosomal RNA", at positions 38 to 529 of the family's 1533-position model. The record is from RNAcentral.